RNAcentral lists this transfer RNA (77 nucleotides) under Flavobacteriaceae bacterium. RNAcentral's name for it is "tRNA-Arg". It matches the Rfam family "tRNA". From Rfam's summary of the family: Transfer RNA (tRNA) molecules are approximately 80 nucleotides in length. Their secondary structure includes four short double-helical elements and three loops (D, anti-codon, and T loops). The record is from RNAcentral. Lineage: Bacteria; Pseudomonadati; Bacteroidota; Flavobacteriia; Flavobacteriales; Flavobacteriaceae. RNAcentral also lists the same sequence under 1 other name.
GGGCGAGUAGCUCAGCUGAAUAGAGCAUCAGAUUUCGGCUCUGACGGUCGGGGGUUUGAAUCCCUCCUCGCUCACCA